RNAcentral lists this ribosomal RNA (548 nucleotides) under Malassezia furfur. Its description in RNAcentral is "LSU rRNA". It matches the Rfam family "Eukaryotic large subunit ribosomal RNA", at positions 62 to 615 of the family's 3401-position model. Lineage: Eukaryota; Fungi; Basidiomycota; Malasseziomycetes; Malasseziales; Malasseziaceae. The record is from RNAcentral.
AAACCAACAAGGAUUCCCCUAGUAACGGCGAGUGAAGAGGGAAGAGCUCAAAUUUGAAAGCUGGUACCUUCGGUAUCCGCGUUGUAACCUCGAGACACGUUUUCCGUGCGGCGCUAUGGACAAGUUCCUUGGAACAGGACAUCGUAGAGGGUGAAAAUCCCGUACUUGCCAUGGAUGUACCGUGCUUUGCGAUACGUGCUCUAAGAGUCGAGUUGUUUGGGAUUGCAGCUCAAAAUGGGUGGUAGACUCCAUCUAAAGCUAAAUAUCGGGGAGAGACCGAUAGCGAACAAGUACCGUGAGGGAAAGAUGAAAAGCACUUUGGAAAGAGAGUUAAAAGUACGUGAAAUUGUCGAAAGGGAAGCGCUUGAAGUCAGCCAUGCCGCUCAGGACUCAGCCUGGCUUUUGCUUGGUGUAUUUCCUGGGUAGCAAGUCAGCAUUGGUUUGGAUCGUCGGAGAAGCAUAGUCGGAAUGUGGCGCCCUCGGGCGUGUUAUAGCCUUCUAUUGGAUACGACGAUCUAGACCAAGGAACGCAGCGCGCCUUAUGGCGG